RNAcentral lists this ribosomal RNA (467 nucleotides) under uncultured bacterium. RNAcentral's name for it is "partial 16S ribosomal RNA". It matches the Rfam family "Bacterial small subunit ribosomal RNA", at positions 28 to 507 of the family's 1533-position model. The record is from RNAcentral.
GACGAACGCUGGCGGCGUGCUUAACACAUGCAAGUCGAACGGAAAGGCCUCUUUCGUGGGGUACUCGAGUGGCGAACGGGUGAGUAACACGUGAGUAACCUGCCCUUGACUUUGGGAUAACUUCAUUAAACUGGGGCUAAUACCGGAUAGGAGCUCCUUCUGCAUGGUGGGGUUUGGAAAGUUUCGGCGGUUGGGGGUGGACUCGCGGCUUAUCAGCUUGUUGGUGGGGUAGUGGCUUACCAAGGCUUUGACGGGUAGCCGGCCUGAGAGGGUGACCGGCCACAUUGGGACUGAGAGACGGCCCAGACUCCUAAGGGAGGCAGCAGUGGGGAAUAUUGCACAAUGGGUGGAAGCCUGAUGCAGCAACGCCGUGUGCGGGAUGACGGCCUUCGGGUUGUAAAACGAUUUCGCUCAUGACGAAGCUUUGUGUGACGGUAGUGGGUAAAGAAGCACCGGCUAACUACGUG